AUACGGAGGGUGCAAGCGUUAAUCGGAAUUACUGGGCGUAAGGCGCGCGUAGGCGGAUUGUUAAGUCUCAUGUGAAAGCCCUGGGCUCAACCUGGGAACUACAUGGGAUACUGGCAAUCUAGAAUACAGUAGAGGGUAGUGGAAUUUCAGGUGUAGCGGUGAAAUGCGUAGGGAUCUGAAGGAACAUCAGUGGCGAAGGCGACUACCUGGACUGAUAUUGACGCUGAGGUGCGAAAGCGUGGGUAGCAAACGGGAUUAGAAACCCGAGUAGUCC
This 274-nucleotide ribosomal RNA is filed under the name uncultured bacterium. RNAcentral's name for it is "partial 16S ribosomal RNA". It matches the Rfam family "Bacterial small subunit ribosomal RNA", at positions 523 to 796 of the family's 1533-position model. The record is from RNAcentral.